This 465-nucleotide ribosomal RNA is filed under the name uncultured bacterium. RNAcentral describes it as "partial 16S ribosomal RNA". It matches the Rfam family "Bacterial small subunit ribosomal RNA", at positions 28 to 507 of the family's 1533-position model. The record is from RNAcentral.
GACGAACGCUGGCGGCGUGCUUAACACAUGCAAGUCGAACGGAAAGGCCCUGCUUGCAGGGUACUCGAGUGGCGAACGGGUGAGUAACACGUGGGUGAUCUGCCCUGCACUUCGGGAUAAGCCUGGGAAACUGGGUCUAAUACCGGACAGGAGCCAUUUUUAGUGUGAUGGUUGGAAAGUUUUUUCGGUGUAGGAUGAGCUCGCGGCCUAUCAGCUUGUUGGUGGGGUAAUGGCCUACCAAGGCGGCGACGGGUAGCCGGCCUGAGAGGGUGGACGGCCACAUUGGGACUGAGGUACGGCCCAGACUCCUACGGGAGGCAGCAGUGGGGAAUAUUGCACAAUGGGCGCAAGCCUGAUGCAGCGACGCCGCGUGGGGGAUGACGGCCUUCGGGUUGUAAACUCCUUUCGCUAGGGACGAAGCUUUUUGUGACGGUACCUAGAUAAGAAGCACCGGCUAACUACGUG